CCACUUAGCAAGUAAAACAAGUAGUUGAUGAUGAUGAAGAUGACCAGGAAUCUAAAUCAGUAGUAAAAUUUUAUAUGUAUCUAGUAUAUGGGGAUAUUGGGUUCAAAUUUUGAGACAUGGUUUUAUCUUAUCUGAUCCACAAAGGGAUUUGACGGAGAUAUUGAGCGAAAAUUUUCCAGGAUUUGAGGGAGAAUAUAGAUUAUUGAGAGAGUCUUAUCUAUUUUUUGCGAAAUUAUUGAGGGCCUGGUCUCUC
RNAcentral lists this long non-coding RNA (253 nucleotides) under Citrus maxima (pomelo). Its description in RNAcentral is "long non-coding RNA (CMAX_LNC003893)". Lineage: Eukaryota; Viridiplantae; Streptophyta; Magnoliopsida; Sapindales; Rutaceae. The record is from RNAcentral.